UGGAUAGUAAAAGUUACUUGGAUAACUGCGGUAAUUCUGGAGCUAAUACAUGCACAAAGCCUUGACCUUACGGGAUAGGCGCUUUUAUUAGAUCAAAACCAAACGGCUUCGGCUGUAUCUUGGUGACUCUGAAUAACUUUGGGCUGAUCGCAUAGCCUAGCGCUGGCGACAUAUCCUUCGAAGGUGUGCCCUAUCAACUGUCGACUGUGGCAUAGACGCCCACAGUGGUUUUGACGGGUAACGGGGAAUCAGGGUUCGAUUCCGGAGAGGGAGCCUUAAAAACGGCUACCACAUCUAAGGAAGGCAGCAGGCACGCAAAUUACCCAAUGACCGAAGGUCGAGGUAGUGACGAAAAAUAACGAUAGCGGACUCAUCCGAGGCCCGCUAAUUGGAAUGAGUACACUUUAAAACCGUCCCCGAGGAUCUAUUGGAGGGCAAGUCUGGU
This 445-nucleotide ribosomal RNA is filed under the name uncultured marine eukaryote. RNAcentral describes it as "SSU rRNA". It matches the Rfam family "Eukaryotic small subunit ribosomal RNA", at positions 121 to 565 of the family's 1831-position model. The record is from RNAcentral.